AGUACUAACAUUGCAUAGUUCGUGUAGAAGUACCUCAACUCUUGCAGAAUAUUCUUGAAUUGUUUCCCCAAUUUUGUGUUUCGUUGUAGUUGAUUCCAAUUGUAGAUAUCCUGGAGUCCUUUUUGCACAAAAUGUCACUUCCAAUAGGCCUUUCAAUGCUUCCCAUGACUUCACCUCUCGGUGUUGUGUCGCUGCGAACGCUUUUCCUGCCAAUUUAGUUAAGAUUGCUUGUAGGAGAAUAGGACGACAAUCGUCACUAAUUGUUUUCGUUACAAAGUCACACGUGUUUAAAAAUGGGUACACAUCCUGCGAACAUUCCCCGUUAAAUUUGGGUAUAAGCUGUAUAGCUGUUUCGAGUGACAACACUGCUUUUUGUGCCAUUAUUUUAUUUGGUUUCAAAAUGGGAGUAUUAUCCUCUAAGUCUAAUGAAGAAAUUAUGGUACCUAGACUAUUGGAACGAUUACGUAAAUUUCGCGUUUGAGAUCUCGUUACCCUAAUAGAAAUGUUGGUCGAGUUUGAUCUAUUGAUUCGGGGUGGAAUAUAAUUAGGAUCUGAAUUGGCAGAAUCAGAAUUGCUAUCGUCGCCACUACUUGUAUAAGCUGACAUACCAUGGGAUAUUUAAUAAUUUAGUUUUAACAAUAUUUCUC
Molecule: non-coding RNA, 647 nt
Organism: Cinara cedri
Lineage: Eukaryota; Metazoa; Arthropoda; Insecta; Hemiptera; Aphididae
Source: the annotation of a GenBank genome assembly